This 460-nucleotide ribosomal RNA is filed under the name uncultured bacterium. RNAcentral describes it as "partial 16S ribosomal RNA". It matches the Rfam family "Bacterial small subunit ribosomal RNA", at positions 338 to 795 of the family's 1533-position model. The record is from RNAcentral.
CCUACGGGUGGCAGCAGUGAGGAAUAUUGGUCAAUGGGCGAGAGCCUGAACCAGCGAAGUCGCGUGAGGGAAGACGGUCCUAUGGAUUGUAAACCUCUUUUGUCGGGGAGCAAAAAGGCCUCGUGAUGCCACAAGUGAGAGUACCCGAAGAAUAAGCAUCGGCUAACUCCGUGCCAGCAGCCGCGGUAAUACGGGGGAUGCUAGCGUUAUCUGGAUUUAUUGGGUUUAAAGGGUGCGUAGGCGGACUGGAAAGUCAGCGGUAAACUCGAGAGGCUCAACCUCUUUCCGCCGUUGAAACUGUCGGACUUGAGUGGGGGAGAAGGAUGCGGAAUGCGUGGUGUAGCGGUGAAAUGCGUAGAUAUCACGAAGAACUCCGGUGGCGAAGGCAGGAUACCGGCGACCGACUGACGCUGAGGCACGAAGGCGUGGGGAGCGAACAGGAUUAGAUACCCCAGUAGUC